RNAcentral lists this ribosomal RNA (497 nucleotides) under uncultured bacterium. RNAcentral's name for it is "partial 16S ribosomal RNA". It matches the Rfam family "Bacterial small subunit ribosomal RNA", at positions 28 to 507 of the family's 1533-position model. The record is from RNAcentral.
GAUGAACGCUGGCGGCGUGCCUAAUACAUGCAAGUCGAGCGAACGGACGAGAAGCUUGCUCCUCUGAUGUUAGCGGCGGACGGGUGAGUAACACGUGGAUAACCUACCUAUAAGACUGGGAUAACUUCGGGAAACCGGAGCUAAUACCGGAUAAUAUUUUGAACCGCAUGGUUCAAAAGUGAAAGACGGUCUUGCUGUCACUUAUAGAUGGAUCCGCGCUGCAUUAGCUAGUUGGUAAGGUAACGGCUUACCAAGGCAACGAUGCAUAGCCGACCUGAGAGGGUGGUCGGCCACACUGGAACUGAGACACGGUCCAGACUCCUACGGGAGGCAGCAGUAGGGAAUCUUCCGCAAUGGGCGAAAGCCUGACGGAGCAACGCCGCGUGAGUGAUGAAGGUCUUCGGAUCGUAAAACUCUGUUAUUAGGGAAGAACAUAUGUGUAAGUAACUGUGCACAUCUUGACGGUACCUAAUCAGAAAGCCACGGCUAACUACGUG